GUCGAGAAUCUUUCACAAUGGGGGCAACCCUGAUGGAGCGACGCCGCGUGGAGGAUAAGGUCUUCGGAUUGUAAACUCCUGUCAUGCGUGAACAAGGUUGCUUGGAUAAUACCUGAGCAAAUUGAUGGUAGCGCAAGAGGAAGAGACGGCUAACUCUGUGCCAGCAGCCGCGGUAAUACAGAGGUCUCAAGCGUUGUUCGGAAUCACUGGGCGUAAAGGGUGCGUAGGUGGCGUGGUAAGUCAGAUGUGAAAGCCCGGGGCUCAACCUCGGAACUGCAUCCGAUACUGCCAUGCUAGAGUACUGGAGAGGUGACUAGAAUUCUCGGUGUAGCAGUGAAAUGCGUAGAUAUCGAGAGGAAUACCAAAGGCGUAGGCAGGUCACUGGACAGUUACUGACACUGAGGCACGAAGGCCAGGGGAGCGAACGGGAUUAGAUACCCGGGUAGUCC
Molecule: ribosomal RNA, 449 nt
Filed under: uncultured bacterium
Lineage: Bacteria
Description: partial 16S ribosomal RNA
Rfam family: Bacterial small subunit ribosomal RNA
Source: RNAcentral